CCUACGGGGAGCAGCAGUGGGGAAUAUUGGACAAUGGGCGAAAGCCUGAUCCAGCCAUGCCGCGUGUGUGAAGAAGGCCUUCGGGUUGUAAAGCACUUUCAGUGGGGAAGAAAGCCUUGGGGCUAAUACCCUCGAGGAAGGACAUCACCCACAGAAGAAGCACCGGCUAACUCCGUGCCAGCAGCCGCGGUAAUACGGAGGGUGCGAGCGUUAAUCGGAAUUACUGGGCGUAAAGCGCGCGUAGGCGGUCUGAUAAGCCGGUUGGGAAAGCCCCGGGCUCAACCUGGGAACGGCAUCCGGAACUGUCAGGCUAGAGUGCAGGAGAGGAAGGUAGAAUUCCCGGUGUAGCGGUGAAAUGCGUAGAGAUCGGGAGGAAUACCAGUGGCGAAGGCGGCCUUCUGGACUGACACUGACGCUGAGGUGCGAAAGCGUGGGUAGCAAACAGGAUUAGAUACCCGGGUAGUC
This 465-nucleotide ribosomal RNA is filed under the name Vreelandella stevensii. RNAcentral's name for it is "partial 16S ribosomal RNA". It matches the Rfam family "Bacterial small subunit ribosomal RNA", at positions 338 to 795 of the family's 1533-position model. Lineage: Bacteria; Pseudomonadati; Pseudomonadota; Gammaproteobacteria; Oceanospirillales; Halomonadaceae. The record is from RNAcentral.